GAACCAAAAUCAAAUCACGGGCUCGGCUGAGGAGAAAAGGAAAAUAAAAGGUGUUGUACGGAAUUUCUAGAGUUGUUACUUUUGAAGACCAUACACCUAGUGCUCAAACCCUAAGACUUAUUUCAAAAGAGGUAGACUCAAAUCCUCAUUUGAUUUCAAUUCAUGUUAUGAUUGAGCAUGUACUAUUGUGAUUAAUAGCUAUUCUAUUUGUUAUAUGUGCCUAAUGGGUUUAAUUGUUACAUAAUAUUGCACCAGAUUUGUGAAAUUGGUGGCGUACUAGUGCACCAAGUAUUGGUAUGUCGUAUAAUCUUCAAUCCACUUAUUGUCCAAAAAUUUAAAUUUGCAUGAGUAGAUGCAUACAUUAUUAUAUGAUUUAAUAUAACGUGUGUAUGGGUCAGACACUCAACCCCCCAUACCUAACAAAAUUUUAGAUUAAUGCGGACGAUGGCGAAGUGUUGCCUUGAUGUAUAUACUUGAAAGUUAUUGUUUAAGUCAUGUAAUGUUUGAAUAACUAUUUAAAUUUAUGGGUAUUUCAUUUUAGCUUUGAAUGUUUAAAGGCACAUUGGUUAGGUGGAAAUCUAGUUGUUUUGAGUUUGCAAAGCUAAAGUGCUUACAAAUUCAGUGUCUACCCCUACUUUUAAAAAUUCACCUCGACCAAAAUACUUGAAAUUUUUAAUUGAUUCAAGUUGGAGAAGGUGGCUUAUAGGUUACCUAUCUCUCAAAUUUGAAAUUACGGUUUUGAGCAUCCUAAAACUCAAGUUAUUGAUGUUUGUCUGAGAGGUGUCAUAACAUACCUGAGAAGAAAUACGAUCCGAAUUUGAAAAUUAUUUUGACCUACCAAUUGAUUGAAUUUUUAUUAAAAAAAUAAAUAAAAAUUAGCAAGUAAUUCACCAAUGUGUAAUAUACUUAUAAUUAAAAUUUUGUAAAUUUUGUACUUCGUUUGGCUGCUGACCAAAUUUUUUUAAGAAAACUACACAGGCAAAAAUCUCAAUUUUACAAAAGUAGUUUUCUUCAGAUUUGCAACUGGUCCCUAAAGUUUAAAGCUUUUGUUCCAAAUUAAUUUCCCCACUUUUGCGAACAACUUAUGCAUGAUUAUGCUAGUUCAAGAUUUUGGUAGUGUCCUGGGUCGCUGAGGCUCGCGGUGCUACAUUUUAUGCUCAAAAAUAUCGAUUUAAGGUCAAAUUGCCAAUAAAUUCUUAAGAAACAGUAAAAUGUCAAUUACAGCUUUGGAACAUUAAAUAAUGGGAAAAUUGGUAAAAAAUUUAAACAAGGACUUUUAUCCAGAAGAAAAAGAUUAUACUUUGGAACAAAAUUUCAAGAUAGGAACAUAUGUAGUGGUAGCUUAUCCCGUUUCAAUUGCAUGUUAUAUUCUUGUAUUUUGAUUGAUCUAUAAGCUAUAGGUAAUGAAAUGUUAUGAUUUGGCUAUAAUAGGUUUUACGACGAUGAAAUUCUUCAGAAUCAAGGAUUUUUUGAGUAAUAUAUGUUUUAUGGUAUGAAUUAUGUUAAAUAUUUGGAUCUUAAUAGUUAAUCUUCAGGUUUGCCGCCCAGAACAUUCCCAAACAGGCACAUAUCUUCCCAGUUAAUGCAUGCCAUCAUCAAACACUUCUUUUCGAACCCAAUGCAGUGGACAAACAUCACAGUUUUCAACUGCUAUCCUGUUCCCAAUUUAAUAAAUCAGUGGGGUUCAUCUUCAAGUUGGAAAAGCAGCACUAAACUCAAACUCCUGGAGUAGAGCCGCUACAAAGGGAUGGAAUUAGAGACACUAAAGGCGACUAAGACUCCAACAAAAGUCGAGUAUUUUGGAGAGACUUUUUGAAUCCUUUAUUUUAUUCUUUGAUAACUAAAUACUUCUCAGUUAACUCAUCAAACAUAUAAUUUUUCAGGAGAGCUAUGUCAGUCGCAUUACGCAAGAACUGAAUAUUGAUUGCUUUUAUCCAUUUUCUCAGUAAUGAUGAAUUACUUUAUUAUUUUAAUUUU
This 1977-nucleotide long non-coding RNA is filed under the name Olea europaea (common olive). RNAcentral's name for it is "long non-coding RNA (OEUR_LNC010986)". The record is from RNAcentral. Lineage: Eukaryota; Viridiplantae; Streptophyta; Magnoliopsida; Lamiales; Oleaceae.